Long non-coding RNA from Theobroma cacao (cacao), 510 nucleotides. RefSeq lists it as uncharacterized. The record is from RefSeq and is a predicted model, not a curated record. NCBI's taxonomy places the organism in Eukaryota, Viridiplantae, Streptophyta, Magnoliopsida, Malvales, Malvaceae.
ACAUAUCUGUGUGAAUCAGAAAAAUGGCUUCUAAGACGUGUUUAUCACAAUGGGCGGUUCUCUUCAUUGUAAUAUUGCUCCUCUUAUCUUCGGCGAUGGCAUCAAGGGAUGUCGUCACAAGGUCUUCCACGCUUCAUUCAUCUUAUGAAAAGGGUAGGGGUCUCGCAUCUAAACCUGCCAGAGAUGAUCCCUGGGACCACAAUUAUCGUUCAGGUCUGGGCAGUAGACGGAUGUUCCUGUAGGACACAAUUAUGCCAAAAAUAAACCAGGUUGCAUGUAAUCGCUUCUAAAUGAUGGAAAAUGUUAUUUUAGUGUAUGAAAUUAAAAUUAUGUAGUUACUUUGCUCUGGCAGUUCCUGUGUUUCAAUGCUUAAGCCUUGAGGCCUUUUAGCUCAACAUGUGGAUGUUCGGGGCAUUUGUUGCGACGUUCCGAAAUCGAGAUAUAAUACGAUAAUAUUAUCUUGAUGUAAUGUUUCAAAGUGAUACGAAAUUUUUCUAUCUAUUAUUCAUA